UACAGAGGAUGCAAGCGUUAUCCGGAAUGAUUGGGCGUAAAGCGUCUGUAGGUGGCUUUUUAAGUCCGCCGUCAAAUCCCAGGGCUCAACUCUGGACAGGCGGUGGAAACUACCAAGCUGGAGUACGGUAGGGGCAGAGGGAAUUUCCGGUGGAGCGGUGAAAUGCGUAGAGAUCGGAAGGAACACCAGUGGCGAAGGCGACUUACUGGACAACAACUGACACUGAGGCACGAAAGCGUGGGGAGCAAACAGG
This 253-nucleotide ribosomal RNA is filed under the name uncultured bacterium. Its description in RNAcentral is "partial 16S ribosomal RNA". It matches the Rfam family "Bacterial small subunit ribosomal RNA", at positions 524 to 776 of the family's 1533-position model. The record is from RNAcentral.